UCGCACUGCGCUCGUGAUUACGAUAUAGAACUGGGAAAAACCGGGAGACACGGAAUAUUGAAGACGACACAAACAAUUCCUCCGUUCCGUAUCUGUCAGGUUUUUCUAGUUUCAUGACGGCCAGCUAGUCUGCGUACUUUUGCUUGUGUCGAUGAUAACAGUGGUCUCACGACGGAAGGUCACCAAUUCUACUAACAAGUGCGUAAUUGGAGUGGUUCAGUUUUGGAGAGAUUCUCUUCGCGCUAGGUUGACUUCGUGCUUCCAGUGGUUCCCAACACUAAUAUUUUCCUUGCAUCAGUGUCACGACGUCACAGCUGUUGGAACUCCCGCAACGUUCAAUAAUCGGCGCCUGUAAAGCGUGCUUUCCCUCAUAUACACCUGCCAUGUGGAGAAGUCGACCCUCGUUCUUGCCUUAACCUUUAUUUUUAUUAUUAUUUUUUUUCUUUUUUCUUUUUUUUCGAACACAGGCACACCAGGUGCUUAUACCUGUCCCUUUUUCUUUCACGCCUGGGCUUCGUGGUGUUCCAAAUGUCUUCGCUUCCAUGUCAUGGAUUGCUGCACAUCCUGUGUCUUUUGGAAGUUAAUAACGUAGCGUGCGCUAUACGUUAUCACCAAAGUAAUGUUAUAUACGUGUUCGUUCCUCAUAAAGCAUUUCAAUAAAUGAAACACAUUACAAAAA
This is a long non-coding RNA of Ornithodoros turicata, 679 nucleotides long. RefSeq lists it as uncharacterized. The record is from RefSeq and is a predicted model, not a curated record. The transcript is spliced from 2 exons. NCBI's taxonomy places the organism in Eukaryota, Metazoa, Arthropoda, Arachnida, Ixodida, Argasidae.